Ribosomal RNA from Clostridium puniceum, 109 nucleotides. It matches the Rfam family "Bacterial large subunit ribosomal RNA", at positions 2815 to 2925 of the family's 2925-position model. The record is from Rfam. Lineage: Bacteria; Bacillati; Bacillota; Clostridia; Eubacteriales; Clostridiaceae.
UAGCGUAAGCUAGUAAGGCCCCUUGAAGACUACAAGGUUGAUAGGUCAGAGGUGUAAGUAUGGUAACAUAUUUAGCUGACUGAUACUAAUAGGUCGAGGGCUUGACCAA